UAGAUGUUAAAUGCCCUAUAGUUCCUCAAAAAAUACAGUUAACUCUCAACUGAAAAUAUGCCUCAUUGUGUAUGAAUAGAGGUGAAUAAAUAUAUUUGUUUGUGUUGCAGCAAAGUAUCAGUUCUGGUUAAUGCCUAAAACAUUUGCCG
Molecule: long non-coding RNA, 149 nt
Organism: Etheostoma cragini (Arkansas darter)
Lineage: Eukaryota; Metazoa; Chordata; Actinopteri; Perciformes; Percidae
Exons: 4
Source: RefSeq, a predicted model, not a curated record